RNAcentral lists this small nucleolar RNA (74 nucleotides) under Notamacropus eugenii (tammar wallaby). RNAcentral's name for it is "Small nucleolar RNA SNORD20 (ENSMEUG00000018111.1)". The record is from RNAcentral. Lineage: Eukaryota; Metazoa; Chordata; Mammalia; Diprotodontia; Macropodidae.
UGAACACUGGUAUUUUACUCAGAUUUAAGAUGAAGAAACCAAGAAAAUCCUCUAGAUAUUCAAGUGCAAUUCAG